This 188-nucleotide unclassified non-coding RNA is filed under the name rhizosphere metagenome. RNAcentral's name for it is "partial ribosomal RNA internal transcribed spacer region". The record is from RNAcentral.
GAGUUAACAAACUCCCAAACCUUUGUGAACAUACCACUGUUGCUUCGGCGGGAUCGUCCCGGGCGCGCUUCACGGCGUGACCCGGACCCAGGCGCCCGCCGGAGGACCCCAACUCUUGUUUUUAUAGUGUCUCUUCUGAGUGGUAUAAGCAAAUAAUUAAAACUUUCAGCAACGGAUCUCUUGGUUCU